Long non-coding RNA from Pundamilia nyererei, 856 nucleotides. RefSeq lists it as uncharacterized. NCBI's taxonomy places the organism in Eukaryota, Metazoa, Chordata, Actinopteri, Cichliformes, Cichlidae. The transcript is spliced from 3 exons. The record is from RefSeq and is a predicted model, not a curated record.
GGGAGAAGAGUCACUUCCUGUGGUCUCCUCCAUAGGUGCUGUCUGACGUGUUCAACGCUCCGGUCUACACCAUCGACCUGUCCGACUCCACUUGUUUGGGUUCAGCCUACAGAGCUCUGCACGGCCUGGUGGCAGAAUCCGGAGCGUCCUUCGUUGAUGUGGUGAAGAAAGCACCAGAACCACGACUGGUCGCCACCCCGCAUCCGAAGGCGAAGGAGAUGUACGACGAGCUGCUGAAGCGCUACGUGCAAUUGGAGGAGAGAGUUGUGCAGAAGAGCCACAGCUGAGCCUCAAACCGCCAUCAGUGAAAUCCCGCGACCGCCAUUUUCUACUGAAGCCAGCUUUGAGUUUGACUUUUACACCUGUUUACCUGAAAGAAGAUCAGAGUCAUCACAGGAACCCUCAGCCACCUGAAGAUGGGCUGCUCGCUUCGACUUCAGCCUGAUUGGAUCAACGACAUCAUCAUCAUGUCAAAGCCUGGUUGGAGGAUAGCAUUAACACAGCAUCGUGUGAUUUUAUAUGGGGGAGCAGAUUUGCUCAGUCCACCAGUAGUGAAACAGAAAAGAAGCUAAAAUGAUGAAACAGCCAGCGAGCCGUGACUGUGUCGCAUUUUAAGCUCCAAAAAUCUGAGAUGAGAGCGAUCGGCUGAAGAACGUCCACGUUAGUGCCAGCUGGGUCCUGCAGAGCAAAGUUUAACAUCCCAAAGUUUUUCAGAGUCUUCUUUUCACUCGUGACAGGCCUGACAUGUCUGUGACGUUUCUGACUGAAGCCCCUCCCACUGCUUCAUCACCUGGAUCCAGGCAGCGUUAGUUAUUCAUGUGUAAUUUUAGUGAAAUAAAGUGAACGAGUUCGUGAA